Molecule: ribosomal RNA, 427 nt
Filed under: uncultured bacterium
Lineage: Bacteria
Description: bacterial SSU rRNA
Rfam family: Bacterial small subunit ribosomal RNA
Source: RNAcentral
UAGGGAAUCUUCCACAAUGGACGAAAGUCUGAUGGAGCAACGCCGCGUGAGUGAAGAAGGUUUUCGAAUCGUAAAACUCUGUUGUUGAAGAAGAACAUGCGUGAGAGUAACUGUUCAUGUAUUGACGGUAUUCAACCAGAAAGCCACGGCUAACUACGUGCCAGCAGCCGCGGUAAUACGUAGGUGGCAAGCGUUAUCCGGAUUUAUUGGGCGUAAAGCGAGUGCAGGCGGUUUAUUAGGUCUGAUGUGAAAGCCCUCGGCUCAACCGAGGAAGUGCAUCGGAAACCGGUAAACUUGAGUGCAGAAGAGGAGAGUGGAACUCCAUGUGUAGCGGUGGAAUGCGUAGAUAUAUGGAAGAACACCAGUGGCGAAGGCGGCUCUCUGGUCUGUAACUGACGCUGAGGCUCGAAAGCGUGGGUAGCAAACA